This 421-nucleotide ribosomal RNA is filed under the name uncultured bacterium. RNAcentral's name for it is "bacterial SSU rRNA". It matches the Rfam family "Bacterial small subunit ribosomal RNA", at positions 355 to 774 of the family's 1533-position model. The record is from RNAcentral.
UAAGGAAUAUUGGUCAAUGGACGCAAGUCUGAACCAGCCAUGCCGCGUGAAGGAUGAAGGUCCUCUGGAUUGUAAACUUCUUUUAUCUGGGACGAAAACGGGAUUUUUAUCUCAAUUGACGGUACCAGAGGAAUAAGCACCGGCUAACUCCGUGCCAGCAGCCGCGGUAAUACGGAGGGUGCGAGCGUUAUCCGGAUUUACUGGGUUUCAAGGGUGCGUAGGUGGGCUUAUAAGUCAGUGGUGAAAUCUCCGAGCUUAACUUGGAAACUGCCGUUGAUACUAUAGGUCUUGAAUUAUCUGGAGGUAAGCGGAAUAUGUCAUGUAGCGGUGAAAUGCUUAGAUAUGACAUAGAACACCAAUUGCGAAGGCAGCUUACUACAUAUAAAUUGACGCUGAGGCACGAAAGCGUGGGGAACAAACA